Molecule: ribosomal RNA, 253 nt
Filed under: uncultured bacterium
Lineage: Bacteria
Description: partial 16S ribosomal RNA
Rfam family: Bacterial small subunit ribosomal RNA
Source: RNAcentral
GACGUAGGGCGCGAGCGUUGUCCGGAUUUAUUGGGCGUAAAGAGCUCGUAGGCGGCUUGUCGCGUCGACCGUGAAAACUCGCAGCUCAACUGCGAGCCUGCGGUCGAUACGGGCAGGCUAGAGUUCGGUAGGGGAGACUGGAAUUCCUGGUGUAGCGGUGAAAUGCGCAGAUAUCAGGAGGAACACCGGUGGCGAAGGCGGGUCUCUGGGCCGUAACUGACGCUGAGGAGCGAAAGCGUGGGGAGCGAACAGG